GUAUUGUAUGAAAGGAGAGAAGAUUAGCUCUCCCCUCGACAAAGAUGGAAAGGUCCUAGGGCCUGACAACAUGCAUAUGGUUAUGGUUAAGGUAUUGCCACCUACUUCAUGGCAUCUAACCAUGGUUUUUA
This is a small nuclear RNA of Dipodomys spectabilis (banner-tailed kangaroo rat), 131 nucleotides long. The record is from RefSeq and is a predicted model, not a curated record. NCBI's taxonomy places the organism in Eukaryota, Metazoa, Chordata, Mammalia, Rodentia, Heteromyidae.